Molecule: unclassified non-coding RNA, 221 nt
Filed under: Hevea brasiliensis (rubber tree)
Lineage: Eukaryota; Viridiplantae; Streptophyta; Magnoliopsida; Malpighiales; Euphorbiaceae
Source: RNAcentral
GAAUUAGCAAGAAACAGAGGAAAUAGAAUAAAAAGAGGGUGAAAAGCAAAGGAAAGAACACACAGAAUUCUAGAGAGGAAAUAUUAUUAAGAUUCAUUGAAUGCAUACUUAGGACAGCGUGGUCCUUUUUCUCCGCAAUUAACAAUGAUACUAACACUAGCUAACUAGUUAACAGGUUGUCUAAUGCAUUUGACAUGUGGCACAAGUCCUACUCUUGAAGA